RNAcentral lists this ribosomal RNA (510 nucleotides) under uncultured bacterium. RNAcentral's name for it is "bacterial SSU rRNA". It matches the Rfam family "Bacterial small subunit ribosomal RNA", at positions 8 to 518 of the family's 1533-position model. The record is from RNAcentral.
AGAGUUUGAUCAUGGCUCAGGACGAACGCUGGCGGCGUGCUUAACACAUGCAAGUCGAACGGGACUGCCCGAAUGAAGUUUCGAUGGAUUUGGGUAUGUUUAGUGGCGAACGGGUGAGUAACGCGUGAGUAACCUGCCUUGGAGAGGGGGACAACAGCCGGAAACGGCUGCUAAUACCGCAUGACGUCACGGGAGGGCAUCCUCUUGUGACCAAAGAUUUAUCGCUCUGAGACGGACUCGCGUCCGAUUAGAUAGUUGGUGAGGUAACGGCUCACCAAGUCGACGAUCGGUAGCCGGACUGAGAGGUUGAACGGCCACAUUGGGACUGAGAUACGGCCCAGACUCCUACGGGAGGCAGCAGUGAGGAAUAUUGGGCAAGUGGGCGACAAGCCUGACCCAGCAACGCCGCGUGAAGGAAGUAAGGUUUCGGAUUGUAAACUUCUUUUCUUCGGGACGAAGAAUGACGGUACCGAAGGAAUAAGCCACGGCUAACUACGUGCCAGCAGCUGC